CAGCAGCCACGGUAAUACGGAGGGUGCAAGCGUUAAUCGGAAUUACUGGGCGUAAAGCGCACGCAGGCGGUCUGACAAGUCAGAUGUGAAAUCCCCGGGCUUAACCUGGGAACUGCAUUUGAAACUGUCAGGCUGGAGUCUUGUAGAGGGGGGUGGAAUUCCAGGUGUAGCGGUGAAAUGCGUAGAGAUCUGGAGGAAUACCGGUGGCGAAGGCGGCCCCCUGGACAAAGACUGACGCUCAGGUGCGAAAGCGUGGGGAGCAAACAGGAUUAGAUACCCCUGUAGUCCCUGUCUCUUAUCA
Molecule: ribosomal RNA, 301 nt
Filed under: uncultured bacterium
Lineage: Bacteria
Description: partial 16S ribosomal RNA
Rfam family: Bacterial small subunit ribosomal RNA
Source: RNAcentral